UACGAAGGGGGCAAGCGUUGUUCGGAAUCAUUGGGCAUAAAGGGCGCGUAGGCGGAUUUGUAAGUCGAUUGUGAAAUCCCUGGGCUUAACCCGGGAAUUGCAGUCGAAACUGCAAGUCUUGAAUGCUCGAGAGGAUGGUGGAAUUCCUGGAGUAGUAGUGAAAUACGUAGAUAUCAGGAGGAACACCGGAGGCGAAGGCGGCCAUCUGGCGAGACAUUGACGCUGAGGCGCGAAAGCGUGGGGAGCAAACAGG
Molecule: ribosomal RNA, 253 nt
Filed under: uncultured bacterium
Lineage: Bacteria
Description: partial 16S ribosomal RNA
Rfam family: Bacterial small subunit ribosomal RNA
Source: RNAcentral